This 390-nucleotide ribosomal RNA is filed under the name uncultured bacterium. RNAcentral describes it as "bacterial SSU rRNA". It matches the Rfam family "Bacterial small subunit ribosomal RNA", at positions 335 to 711 of the family's 1533-position model. The record is from RNAcentral.
ACUCCUACGGGAGGCAGCAGUGGGGAAUAUUGCACAAUGGGGGAAACCCUGAUGCAGCCAUGCCGCGUGUGUGAAGAAGGCCUUCGGGUUGUAAAGCACUUUCUAGUAGGGAGGAAGGUAGUGUAGUUAACACCUGCAUUAUUUGUACGUUACCUACAGAAGAAGCACCGGCUAACUCCGUGCCAGCAGCCGCGGUAAGUACGGAGGGUGCGAGCGUUAAUCGGAAUUACUGGGCGUAAAGCGCAUGCAGGCGGCCUGUUAAGUCAGAUGUGAAAGCCCGGGGUCGUUAACCUCGGAAUUGCAUUUGAAACUGGCAGGCUAGAGUCUUGUAGAGGGGGUUAGAAUUUCGAGGUGUAGCGGUGAAAUGCGUAGAGAUCUGAAGGAAUACCA